AUGACCAAGGAGCAAAAUGAAGCCAUAGUGAAGGCCCAAGUGGAGGCCCAUUUGGCACCAAAACCGGCACCACCGCCAAGGGAGAAAGUGCCCGAGGAGAAGAUUGACCACUUUAUUCGUAUGGCACAACCACCAGCUCCCAAGCCUAUUGACUUAGACUAUGAGCGCCAAAUCAGGAAGGCACAUGGAGCACGACAACAAAAGGGGUUGAGCUCGAGCCAAGCAGCUGGCGAAAAAUGCGGGAAAACCGUUCCCCAACUAGGAGAACAAGCGGCACAAUCGAUCCCCCCCACUUGUUGUACCAACACAUGA
This 312-nucleotide ribosomal RNA is filed under the name Triticum aestivum (bread wheat). RNAcentral's name for it is "partial small subunit ribosomal RNA". Lineage: Eukaryota; Viridiplantae; Streptophyta; Magnoliopsida; Poales; Poaceae. The record is from RNAcentral.